Molecule: ribosomal RNA, 253 nt
Filed under: uncultured bacterium
Lineage: Bacteria
Description: partial 16S ribosomal RNA
Rfam family: Bacterial small subunit ribosomal RNA
Source: RNAcentral
UACAGAGGGUGCGAGCGUUGUCCGGAAUCACUGGGCGUAAAGGGCGCGUAGGCGGCUUGAUAAGCGUGCGGUGAAAGCCCGGGGCUCAACCCCGGGUCGGCCGUGCGAACUGUCGAGCUGGAGCACUGUAGAGGCAGGUGGAAUUCCGGGUGUAGCGGUGGAAUGCGUAGAGAUCCGGAAGAACACCGGUGGCGAAGGCGGCCUGCUGGGCAGUGGCUGACGCUGAGACGCGAAAGCGUGGGGAGCAAACAGG